GAUGAACGCUGGCGGCGUGCCUAAUACAUGCAAGUCGAGCGAACGGACGAGACGCUUGCUUUUCUGAUGUUAGCGGCGGACGGGUGAGUAACACUUGGAUAACCUACCUAUAAGACUGGGCUAACUUCGUGAAACCGGAUCUAAUCCCGGAUAAUAUUUUGAACCGCAUGGUUCAAAAGUGAAAGACGGUCUUGCUGUCACUUAUAGAUGGAUCCGCGCUGCAUUAGCUAGUUGGUAAGGUAACGGCUUACCAAGGCAACGAUGCAUAGCCGACCUGAGAGGGGGAUAGGCCACACGGGAACUGAGACACGGUCCAGACUCCUAAGGGAGGCAGCAGUAGGGAAUCUUCCGCAAUGGGCGAAAGCCUGACGGAGCAACGCCGCGUGAGUGAUGAAGGUCUUCGGAUCGUAAAACUCUGUUAUUAGGGAAGAACAUAUGUGUAAGUAACUGUGCACAUCUUGACGGUACCUAAUCAGAAAGCCACGGCUAACUACGUG
Molecule: ribosomal RNA, 497 nt
Filed under: uncultured bacterium
Lineage: Bacteria
Description: partial 16S ribosomal RNA
Rfam family: Bacterial small subunit ribosomal RNA
Source: RNAcentral